RNAcentral lists this long non-coding RNA (1539 nucleotides) under Homo sapiens (human). RNAcentral describes it as "HSALNT0016763". Lineage: Eukaryota; Metazoa; Chordata; Mammalia; Primates; Hominidae. The record is from RNAcentral.
AAGAUGGGAGAUCAAAUUGAAUAUCAAGAGCAAGUUAUGGCUAAGGAAAGUGACAGAUGACUACACAACUGCCAGUGGAACAUCUGGAUUGAGUGACGUGCUAGACUUAUUUUUUACUUCCUUGUCAAUAUUCCUGGGUGUUUACAAGUCUUCUGCUACCCUCAAAUAAACACAAUCCUUUUCACAGAUAUUAAAUUUGUGUCCUAUCUCCAAAGUUAUAAAAUAUUUUCAUAGAAGAACAUUACUUGACAAUUAGGUAGAGAACAAAUAAUAUUUAUGGACACAAAAUAAAGUGAGAAAGAAACAUAAUAAUAGUAAAAAGAGAACUAACUUUUAUUGAAUAUCUACUAUUUACAGAUGCUACAUUAACUCCUACAACAAAUUUAUGCAGCAAUUGAGGCUAAGAGAUCUUCUGUAUUAAGCAUAAGUAUUCCAGGUCACACAGACCAUGAAUAAGGGCAUGGCUUCUAAACAUUGUUUAAGACUAAACUUAACUUUGAUGUCAUGUCCUUCAUGGACCCUUUUUGACGACUUCCAUGUCGAACAUAGAUCUCUAUCUGCAGGUUGCUAUGGUCUCCUUUGCUUCCUUUCAUUGUGCUUAUCACAGUGCACGAAAACUUUCUCUUCAUUUCAUCGCCUUGGCUGAACUACAACUUCUUAUCACAGUGAAGUUCUCUUAUUAAUAUUUUUAGCCUCAGUCUCUUUAGCAUAAUAUUGAGUGCAUAGUAGAUACUCAGCAAACAUAGAAUAAGUAAAUAAAUGAAUGCGUGAAUGAGUAGGGCAAAGAUUAAGAAAACGAAGUCAGUAUCUAAGGAACCAAACACACGAUGUGGUCAGGGAAGGGUCUAAGAAAUUUUAAACCACACAACUUCUCAAAACUCAUCACUGCCUUAUGUAGUAUGGUUUUCUAGGUAGAUACACAGGAUCUCAGUGGUUCUUUCUGGAUUAGUCUAACUUUACACUACACUAAAGAUGUGCCACACCAUAACACCAGUUUCUUUAAAAGGUUAAUGAGACGUCGUAAUUAUAAAAGGCUUGAAAAUCUUUAUAAGAAGUACAAUUUAAAGGUAAAUGUUUAUUCCUCACUUUAUUAUUUCCCGUUCUCAAUAUUCAGCCUGAAGCUGAUAACAAAAUCAUCAAGUUCAGGUUUCCCUGAUUCAUUUUUAGAUUUUUCAGGAUGAAGAUAAUAUUAGGAACUAACAAAACUACUUGAAAGAAAUUUAUGUUUAGCAAAUUAUGUUAGUUUCAUUCUAUUCUGUGAAAUCAACUAUAGAAAAUUAUAAUACACAAAUAUGUUUGAACAUAGUACAUGUGAUAUUCUCUAUGUAUACAUGUGUAUGUAUAUUAACAGUGAUUAUCUUUAAAUCGAGUGAUUACUAGCCAUUUUGAUAGUUUAACCUUAUUUUUCCUAGCCUUUCCACAUUUUUUAUAGUAAGUGUGCAUUAUUUAUAUUAAUAAUAAAAAUGUCUAACAUUUGAGAAGCACUUAUCUGAUAGAUACUGUGCUAAAAUCAUUAUGAGUCAUCUUGUUUAAUAGUCC